GCUUUACAGUGUAUUAAUUAAAUUUUAAAUUGUUAGUAUUAACUUAGUUUAUUUAGUAACUGUUUCGUUGGGGCGACGAAAAUAUAAUAAAUAGUAACUGUUUUUCUUUAUAAUAUAACAAAAAUUUUUGGAAGUAAUUGAUCCUUUCUUAAAGAUUAAAAGAUUAAGUU
This 170-nucleotide ribosomal RNA is filed under the name Metapenaeus brevicornis. Its description in RNAcentral is "partial 16S rRNA". Lineage: Eukaryota; Metazoa; Arthropoda; Malacostraca; Decapoda; Penaeidae. The record is from RNAcentral.